UUGAAUAUAAUGGAGCAAAAAUGCCCAUUUAUUAAUCUGAUGUACAUUAAAUAUCUUUGCAUUUGUUACAUGAAUGUCAGGUAUCUGGCAGAUAAAUUUACAUACACUUCCACAGUUGAAUAGAUUUAUACUGUAUGUACAGUCAUUCUACACAGAGCAUGCCCUUCCACCAAGAUACAGACAACUUCCUCCAAGGCUUUUGGUAAAAACACACUUGGUCAAACAUUAUGGCAGUCAGCAAUCUGACACAGACGGUGCAUUCCACAGGGAUGAGUUCACAAUUGGACCAGCUGGACUCAGGAUGAAAAAAUCCAGAAACCUGCAAGUGAGGAUUUAUCGAGGGUACACACAUGCAAACACAUAUAUACAAUAGUGGUGACUGGGAUCCACGUGAUAGAAGGGCACACAGAGCAGGAAAUACAGAAACCAAAAACAAGGUCAGGACCAUUGCCAAGAUUUCUCUGCAAAUGAGUUGAUCUGAAAGUGUGUCCAAAAAGGAAAUCUAACUUAAAAAAUAGCUUAGUGCUUUAUAUACAUUAUAUACACAUGAGCAAAGAGCAUGAGACAUGAGACCGGGUCAGUAUGUCUCCAGGUCAGAAUUAAGGAUACACAAUGAUUUUUUGAAUGUGGAGAGGGCAUAAAUCAAGAAAGAACACUUCUUUACCUUUUAAUCUUUUUGAUUUAGUAUACAGAUUAGGCACCAUAAAUUUAUAACAAUUGUGAUGGAGAGGAAAUUAGAACAAUAUGUCAACUAGCAUCUAGGCAUGACUGGUGAACUUCAAAGGCAGGUGUGGGUGUGGGUUUCAGCCUAGGGCCUUCUACCUGUGCAUGUGUGGGACUGGAGACAGACUUCAUGCAAAUGGAAAGGGAACUCUGUUGGUUUUAUUUACUUUGCAUCUAAUGAUAGGAUAUUUGGCAUCCCUUCUGACUUGUCAGAAUUUCACUUUUUGAGGGUGAAGCAAAUGUAAUGAAUAAGGAGCUUGAUUCAUUACUCUAUGGGUUGGAGGAUAAACUCCCAUAUACUCAGGAUGGAAAGCCCCCUGCAAAUUUCAAUGAGAGUGGGGCAUAGAGAAGACCUCUCCCCCUCCUCUUCACUGUCUUGGCUUCUACAAGACCAAUACAGCAGUCACAAUCACAUCUUGGGCACAAUGAGAAGCCAAAUAUUCUCUAAGGCAGCAGUUCUCAAACUUUUUGGUCUCAGAACCCUUUUACAUUCUUAAAAAUUAUUGAGCACCCCCACCCCCAGUGCUUUUGCUUACAUGGGUUGUAUAUGUUGGUUUUUACCUUAUUAGAAACUAAAAUGUCUUAGUAUUAUUAUAAAAAUAUUUUCACCUGGUGGACCGUCUGAAAGGACUACACUUUGAGAAUCAUUCCUAUAAGACAUGCAACGACUUCAGCAAGAGAGGUCAUCCCUGUUCACCAAACUUUCUUAACAGUGUUACAUUAGAUGAUAGCCAAGGAGUUGGCCUUAUUGUCCAGAUGGACAAUUUUUUUUUACUCUUAGUUCUAACUUGGAUUAAACCCAACCUGUUUGGAGGGUGAAGAAGGAGUAGGGACAGAGGGUUACCUUCUGUAGUGCCAUGAUUGUGUUAUAAGGGAAGAAGGGAAAAGAGCAACCAUUGUAAUUUUAGCAUUUGGAUUCAAAGGCACUAAAACUUUCAAUGUUUCAUAUAGUUCCAUCACAAAUACAGAUUAAUGUAUAUGAUUAUCUUUAAAUAUGUGAUUAUAUGUGUGGGUCUUGACUUAGGAAUUUGAGAUAGGAGAGUGAUUAGGCUAUUGUUUAUGGCUUCUCAGCAAAUGGAAACUCUUGCCAAGCCAUGCUUCAAAAUCAUCUUCAGCACUGUAUGUCAGAGGCAUUGAGGACCUGUUGAGUAUCAGCUCUGCAUUAGGCAAUGUAAUUCACAGCUAAUAUAUUUUACCAGUCACUAUCCACAUGUUAUCUAUCUUCAUGUUCCCAGAAGAGUGAUUAACAGCUUUUUUGCCUCUGAGGAUCACUGUGUGAUCAGGCUAUGCUUCUGAGCUCCUCUAAGGCACAGGCAGUGGAGAAGGAAACAAGGAUAAGGAAGAUAUAAGGUGAGCAGACGGAGAGGGAGUGAAAAAGCAGACAAAUAGGAAGAAAGGAUGGUGGAGUCACAACUACCAAUCUUAGUGCCUGGGCAAGUAGCACACUUAGGAGCAACAAAGCCCUGGAUUUCCUAAACCCCAGCAGCAGGCAGAGGGCGUUUUGGCGGAGAAGGCAUGGUAGAGAUUCAACCCCUGGAGGAGACCAGGAUGUCCAAGCAGUGGCAAGGAGCGGGUGUGUCCCUGGGCCCCAGGCAUGUCCAACUCUUUGUGACCUGUUUUUGGGGUUUUCCU
Molecule: non-coding RNA, 2355 nt
Organism: Phascolarctos cinereus (koala)
Lineage: Eukaryota; Metazoa; Chordata; Mammalia; Diprotodontia; Phascolarctidae
Source: RefSeq, a predicted model, not a curated record